AAUCAGAAUAAUGGUUAAACAAUUAACAGGUUUCUGUGCUUAUUUGAAGAUAGGCUGUUUUAACAGUAAACAAUAGCAGCCAAAUUCUGCGGAAUCAGUUUGAAUCCCGGUAACAUAAAGCUAUAAAGUGUAAUCACUGUAACUUCCUGCCUAAUAUUUGACACACUUGAGCAGUUCCUGGAAGUGUAACCAAUAACAAUAACCUAACAACCAUUGCCUAAUAUUUGACACGCUUGAA
Molecule: long non-coding RNA, 238 nt
Filed under: Setaria viridis
Lineage: Eukaryota; Viridiplantae; Streptophyta; Magnoliopsida; Poales; Poaceae
Description: long non-coding RNA (SVIR_LNC001007)
Source: RNAcentral